Molecule: ribosomal RNA, 464 nt
Filed under: uncultured Klebsiella sp.
Lineage: Bacteria; Pseudomonadati; Pseudomonadota; Gammaproteobacteria; Enterobacterales; Enterobacteriaceae
Description: bacterial SSU rRNA
Rfam family: Bacterial small subunit ribosomal RNA
Source: RNAcentral
CCUACGGGAGGCAGCAGUGGGGAAUAUUGCACAAUGGGCGCAAGCCUGAUGCAGCCAUGCCGCGUGUGUGAAGAAGGCCUUCGGGUUUAAAGCACUUUCAGCGGGGAGGAAGGCGGUGAGGUUCAUAACCUCAUCGAUUGACGUUACCCGCAGAAGAAGCACCGGCUAACUCCGUGCCAGCAGCCGCGGUAAUACGGAGGGUGCAAGCGUUAAUCGGAAUUACUGGGCGUAAAGCGCACGCAGGCGGUCUGUCAAGUCGGAUGUGAAAUCCCCGGGCUCAACCUGGGAACUGCAUUCGAAACUGGCAGGCUAGAGUCUUGUAGAGGGGGGUAGAAUUCCAGGUGUAGCGGUGAAAUGCGUAGAGAUCUGGAGGAAUACCGGUGGCGAAGGCGGCCCCCUGGACAAAGACUGACGCUCAGGUGCGAAAGCGUGGGGAGCAAACAGGAUUAGAUACCCUAGUAGUC